ACAUUUUUAGUCUUUAUUUUUUAAGUAAAUUCCAUUGAAUCAAAUAUAACAAAAUUACAGUUUUUGUUUGUAAUGAUCUUUGUUCACCACCACACAAUCAUAGUAGAAUCGAAAGGAAUAUGAGAACAUAAAAUGAUCAAGGACAUCAUUGUUUAGUAUAAUUUCUUAUUAAAGGUAAAUAUCCCCAUAUUUAGAAAAAAUUGCAUUGCUAGUUGCAAAUCUUAAACACCUCAAUGCUGAAGGAGCCUGCAUUUCCCCCGCAAAGAUCCAGCAGCACAGAGGCUUUCAGAACACAAACUCAAAAAUAUAGUAUUUUCAGGGCAGCAUUUUAAGUUUCAGAAAACCCAAACAAAACAAAACAAAAUCAGAACUAGGAAUGUGAAAGUGAUGGUUCUCAAAAAGUCAAUCUGGAAGCAGAUCUGCCAACAUAAGAAUGUGGUUGAACAGAGUCUAACCAGGAAAAGGAGAGAUGCAAACUCGCUCCCCCUCCCUCCUCACCAUCGUCCCCCGACCCCAGCGAGCAAACCGCCUCCCUGCUGUGCUGUCUCUCUGAUGGAGUCCACCUCCGGGGCCAUGGCGAAGCACGAGCAGGUCCUGGUCCUCGACCUGCCCACAGACCUCAAAUUCAAAGGCCCCUUCACAGAUGUAGUCACUAUAAAUCUUAAAUUGCGAAAUCCAUCGGAUAGAAAAGUGUGUUUCAAAGUGAAGACUACAGCGCCUCACCGGUACUGAGUGAGGCCCAACAGUGGAAUUAUUGACCCAGGGUCAACUGUGACUGUUUCAGUAAUGCUACAGCCCUUUGACUAUGAUCCGAAUGAAAAGAGUAAACACAAGUGUAUGGUACAAUUUUUGCUCCACUGAACACUUCAGAUAUGGAAAUUGUGUGGAAAGAGGCAAAACCUGACGAAUUAAUGGAUUCCAAAUUGAGAUGUGUAUUUGAAAUGCCCAAUGAAAAUGAUAAAUUGAAUGACAUGGAACCUAGCAAAGCUGUUCCACUGAAUGCAUCUGAACAAGAUGGACCCAUGCCAAAACCACACAGUGUUUCACUUAAUGACACCGCAACAAGGAAACUAAUAGAAGAGUGUAAAAGACUUCAGGGAGAAAUGGUGAAGCUAUCAGAAGAAAAUCGACACCUGAGAGAUGAAGGUUUAAGGCUCAGAAAGGUAGCACAUUCGGAUAAACCUGGAUCAACCUCAACUGCAUCCUUCAGAGAUGUCACCAAUCCUCUUCCUUCACUUCUUGUUGUAACUGCAGCCAUUUUCAUUGGAUUCUUUCUUUUUUGGAGACGGAGUCUCACUCUUGUCCCCCAGGCUGGAGUGCAGUGGCAUGAUCUCGGCUCACUGCAACCUGUCUCCUGGGUUCAAGCAAUUCUCCCACCUCAGCCUCCCUAGUAGCUGGGAUUACAGGCGCCCACCACCACACCCAGCUAAUUUUUGCAUUUUUAGUAGAGACGGGGUUUCACCGUGUUGGCCAGGUUGGUCUCGAACUCCUAACCUCAGGCGAUCCACCUGCCUCGGCCUCCAAAGUGCUGGGAUUACAGGCGGGAGCCACCAUGCUCGGCCUUCAUUGGAUUCUUUCUAGUGAAAUUCAUCUUCUAGAGUGAAGCAUACAAAGUGCUAUUUCCUUUUUUUUUUCUUGACCAGAAAAAGAUUCGUUUACCUACUAUUUCAUUGGUAGUAUGGCCUGCAGUGACCAUUUUCUUUUGUGUGUGUACAGCGCCAUAUAGGCUUUGCGUUUAAUGAUCUCUUACGGUUAGAAAACACAAUAAAAACAAACUGUUUGGCUACUGGACAAAUUGUAUAUUACCAGAUCAUCACUAGCAGGUUUCAGUUGCACAUUCAGUCCUUUAUGAAAUUCAUAAAGAAUUGUUCUGGGAAGUGGGGAGCGCCUCUGCCCAGCCCCCAUCCUGUCUGGGAAGUGAGAAGCCUUUCUGCUUGGCCGCCCACCCUCUGGGAAGUGAGGAGCGCUUCUGCCAGGCCCCUGCCCCAUCUGGGAAGUGAGGAGGGCCUCUGCCUGGGGGCUGCCCAUCUGGGGUGAGAAGCGCACCUGGCUGGCCGCCCACCCUCUGGGAAGUGAGGAGCGCCUCUGCCCAGCUGUCCCACCAUCUUGGAAGUGAGGCGCACCUCUGCCCGGCCCCUGCCCUGUCUGGGAAGUGAGGAGUGUCUCUGUCCAGCCACUGUACCUUCUGGGAAGUGAGGAGCGCCUCUGCCUGGCUGCUGCACUGUCUGGGAAGUGAGGAGCGCCUCUGCCUGGCUGCUGCACUGUCUGGAAAGUGAGGUGCGUCUCUGCCUGGCCACCCACCAUCUGGGAAGUGAGGUGCGUCUCUGCCUGGCUGCUGCACUGUCUGGGAAGUGAGGUGCGUCUCUGCCGCCCGCUGCCCCGUCUGGAAAGUGAGGAGCGCCUCUGCCCAGCUGCUGUGCAACCCUCCAAGUGUGAAGUGACAGCCUUAUGUGUGAUCUUUUUGCUCUCCCCAAGUUUGCAUUUUCGACAUUAAUAAUAGUUUACUUUUUAAAUAAAAGUUUUAAAUUGGAGAAUAAAAAAAAACUAACUUCAGCUUCUUAUUAUUUGAGAUGCAUGAAAGCUCUACCCACAUACAUGCUAGGAAAAACAGUUCAGAAAACACGGGGGACUGACUCUUCCAAAAGAAGCAGCUGUCUACUCUGCAGCCUACUUCCAAGGGCCACUGUAAGAGGAAGCCUGGGCUGCAGCAUUCAGAGGGAGCAGCAGCAGAGACGGGAAGGAAGCAGGCCUUGCCUUGUGUGGCAUUCCAGUUCCCUCUGUCAGCAGGGGCCAGAUCCCCCUUCCUUAGCUUCAACUACAAUUUGGCAAAAGCAAUUCUAGGGUAACUGGGGGCAGUAGGGGCGUAAGGGGUUUACUUCCCUCUGCUUAGAUAACAGAGGUAGAAGAAACACUUUCCAUCAAUUGCUUGGCCUCUAAAUGCCACAGGCAGGCUACUUUUCAUGGCUUUUCAAAGCAUCCAAGCAAUCCAAAGUGGCUCUGAACAGCAGAGUAAGGCCAAGAAGGGUAAAAAGGGGCCAGAGCUGAGGUGUUUGGGCCAGUUCUGGAUCACUCAUAUUGUUGAGGGAGGGAUGGGAGCAUAAGAUAACAAGGAGCCUCAGUCCACUUGAGGAAAUUCUCUGGUUUUGCUGCAGUUUCGCUUCAAACUUCCACAGCGGAAGAAUUUGAAUUCUAAUGCCACAAUAUUGUUGUAAUACCAGGGAUUCUCUAGAGGCAAGUUAAGGCUUUCUGGGCAAAGAAAACAAUUCCAGAUGAUAUUGUGACAGAAUGCUACAGUGAAAUGCUUCUUAAUGACUCUCCUGUCCUGCCUAAAGGACAAAGACCUAUGAGUGACUUCAACUUGACGUGAUGUUUCAGUGAUCUUUACUUCAGCUCUAAGUCGGAAUCAAUGGCACAGGAAAAGAAAAGCCUCUUACAUCUCAGACAUCUGCUUGCCGAGCAAACACAAACAAGAACACGUGUAUUGUUUCUCAGGAGCUGGCAAAAUAGAUCUCAAGUCACACAGUUACAAAGAGAGCUCUCAUUCAGAUGCCGGGCAUAUAAGCUCAGCUACCCAGAAAGUUCAGCUUUAAUGAAGACUGUAGUUUUAGAAUGAAAGCCUGAGCAGGAAGGAUUUCUGCCCUGGGAAUUCUCAAUGCUCUGCCUGAGUCACACUGGAGGAUGGAGAUAGGCUCCUCAUUCCAGCGGCCAGCACCUGCCACAGUCACAAGACCACCCUCAGAAUAGCAAGGAUCUUACGAUGACAAUGGGGACUCUGAAGAGAAGCCAGUCAAAGACACAGGGCUUUGGACAAGAUCAAGGGUCUUCACCACGAAAGCUUAAUGCAGAAGCCCCCUCCCUCCAAGUCCCCUCAGCAUGAGCCUUGAGCCUUGACAUAGUUGUUUCCACCUGCAAGGGCUGGAGAAGCCAAGUUCACACAGAUGUUCAGCAAUGUUCAAGCAAAUGAUGUGUAAAUAGAUUCGAUGGUCUUAGAGAUGGUCUAAGAGGAGGGAACAGGCUCAGAGAGGUGAGGUGAUUUGCCCAUGAUCCAAUGUGAAUUACAGACCAUUAGGACAAGAACUUAGGUAUAUUUCCACUCUUAUGGUGACCCAUAAGGGUCCCAGUAAGCGUAAAAUGCUGCAGAGAGGAGAAUAUUGCAACCAACAGCUUUCUGCUUUCACUCUGCUCUGGAAUCAUUCGUGUAAACUCACAGCAGGAAAAGAUAACAGUUUUCUUCAAGUCUGUUAAACUCACUUCUAACAUAAAAACAUUAAAGAAACUUGACACAAUUUUUUGAGUCAGUUAAACCUAAUUUGACUGGAAUCAGUUACUUAUAAGUAUCUUCAAAUUGCUUAUGAGACACAGAGUACUACAGGAGAGAUGUGGGUGCUUCUCCCCAUUGGUUUUUAACACAUUAUUCCUGCAAUGGAAUUGUCCGGUUGAUGCAAUUUAUAACCUCAAUUUGAUUCUAAAAUAUAACAUUCAAAUACUCUUUAAAAAUUCAGCCUUGUUUUCGCCCAAAUAGAACCUUACUAGCAAAAGGGGGAUUCAUAUAAUCGUCAGAAAUGAAUGACUUUGGGAAGAAAGGCAAGGACACCUGGAGGAAGGAAAAAGGAUGACCUAUCUAUAAACUGCCACUCCCUCAUUUAUCAGGCAAGUUUGCAGCUCUGUAAAUUCAAUGCCUCUGUGCUCUCAUUCAGGGACAAACAAGAAUUCUCCUGUAAGACAGCCACAGUCACAUUCGCAUUUCCAUGCCUAAGAGCCUGAAGCUUGAACAAAGGGCUUCAGUUAAUUUCAUGUGAGCCAAAAUGGAAUGUGAGUGCCAUUCAGAGUCACACACUAAAAAGAUUUCAGCUGGGACACUGGCUCCCACAGUCCUGGGGGAGCAAAUUCCGGUUGUGUAGCAACAAAGGCUAUGCUGCCAGCCCUGCCUGUCCUCCACAGGGGCCACCAGGACUGCCAUGCAGACCAGGCUCCACCCUCCCCCACACCGGUUUGUGUGACAACAGGGCUGUCUUUUCUCUUCCCAAAUUUCUGAAGGGUGCUAGUACCUGGGCCAGCCACUAUGUUGUCAGAAUAGAUUAAGGGGUGUGGCCUCAGGCAUAUGAAAGGAGCCUCUCGCUCUUCUGUGGUGGUGAUUCAAUCCUAGGAUGUUAUUGCUUGGUUUACCUAUUCUCAUAAAAAGCCUUGAGAAAUGAAGGUAGUAGUGGCAGAAAUAUGACUAUCAAUCGUCAGGAUCACAGCUGUAGUUGGGUGAAGGGAAAAGUAACAGAGGAGAGGGAAUAGCUUCCAAAUUGAGGGGUAAAGUGCCAGUUUGUGCUAAAA
Chlorocebus sabaeus (green monkey) is the source of this 5322-nucleotide non-coding RNA. The record is from RefSeq and is a predicted model, not a curated record. Lineage: Eukaryota; Metazoa; Chordata; Mammalia; Primates; Cercopithecidae.